This is a long non-coding RNA of Spodoptera frugiperda (fall armyworm), 250 nucleotides long. RefSeq lists it as uncharacterized. The transcript has 2 exons. The record is from RefSeq and is a predicted model, not a curated record. Lineage: Eukaryota; Metazoa; Arthropoda; Insecta; Lepidoptera; Noctuidae.
CACACAAUUUUACAAUAUCAAUACAUUAGAUACAAAUAAAUAAAAUGAAAGCACAUAGGAGCAUUUGAUUUUAUUUAGCUGACAGAAGCCGCGAUCCAGUCGGUGUAGGAGCUGACAGCAGUGCUGACUCCGGGGAAGGUCGCGUUAGCGCAGCCAUGACCCCAAGACACGACACCGACCACUAUGUCACCGUAGUAGAGAGGACCACCAGAGUCACCCUGGCAGGCGUCCUUGCCACCGACGUCAAGAA